This is a long non-coding RNA of Cyclopterus lumpus (lumpfish), 373 nucleotides long. RefSeq lists it as uncharacterized. The record is from RefSeq and is a predicted model, not a curated record. NCBI's taxonomy places the organism in Eukaryota, Metazoa, Chordata, Actinopteri, Perciformes, Cyclopteridae. The transcript has 3 exons.
AGCAAUGGUGCACAACAGAACGCUCUAUGCCAGACUUUACCCACAGGGGCCCAAAGUCACAGUCGAGCUGUUCCUGGAAAAGGGAAAGCUUGGAGCUAUGAGGAGGGGUGCAUCAGUGUCUUUGAGACUGGCCCAGAACGGACACGCAAAACACAACAAACUGAAGAAUGUUGGGCUCAUGAAAAUAAGCACAAGUCAACUUAAAAUGAAGAAACAGGAGUCUGAGUGGGAGAAAUACCUCAUCUCGUGCUAUACUCCAAGUAAGAAGUAAUUCAGAGAGUAGGGAAUGUUUCAGAUCCUAUGUAACUUUGUUUGGCAUGUCUUGACAGCCAAUGAACCAUUUAAAAUGUAAAUACAAAUGAAACGCACCAAU